Rhinopithecus roxellana (golden snub-nosed monkey) is the source of this 977-nucleotide long non-coding RNA. RefSeq lists it as uncharacterized. NCBI's taxonomy places the organism in Eukaryota, Metazoa, Chordata, Mammalia, Primates, Cercopithecidae. The transcript is spliced from 2 exons. The record is from RefSeq and is a predicted model, not a curated record.
AGAGAUCCUUCCACUUCAGCCUCUUGAAUAAUGGGGACUGCAGUUUAUUUUCAGCUGAACUCCGGAGAGUGAAGGAAGAAGCUUUUUUUCUUCAUUCCUACAUAACCCAGGCAUUGAUCCAGGCAAUGAAGAUUCAGUGUAAACAACCACCACUAACAAGACCAUGGCCUUUGGAACCUGCGCUAAGAGGCAUGGAUGAGCUCCCUCAGCAUGUGGAUGGAGACUGAAGACAGGUCUGAAGGCUCAGUGUAGGUGUCUCCAUUCUCUAAGAAGUUUGGAGGAGAAGCUGGAUACAGCAAAACAGAUUGAGAAGCAGCAGCUGUUGGGAAGGGAGGAAAACUAGGAAAGCAUGGUGUCCAGAGUCCCUGAUGGAGAUAUUGACUAGUAGUAUCAGAUUCUGCCCGGCAGUUGAGGAGUUCACCUUUGGCUUAAGCAACAUGGAGUCACUGACUAUCUCGUGAAGGUGGUUGCAGGGGAAGGUCUGGAGAACUAAAUGGAGCAGUGAUAAGAGAGAAUGGGAGGUGGUAUGAUAGGACUCCUGGACACCCCAGACAUCAAUCAAAACACCAUAGACAAGAAGGUGUGGAUAUAAAAACUAGCAGUUAGAAGAAAUAAUAGAAAAGGAACUGCAACUACUUUGGAAAAAAAAGUAAUAAGCGCAAUUAAUACACUGAAUAAAGCCUCAAUAAGUACAACAGUGUAGUACUGACUUAUAUAUAGAAAAAACGUGAUCAGUGGAGCCAAAUUCUCAGAAUUAGAUAUAAGUGCAUAUGAGAAUUUUGUAUAUGAUAAAGGUUGUAUGUUAACGUAGUAAGUAAAAGAUGGACUAUUCAACAAAUGGGAUUGGUACAACUGGGUGACCACCUAAAAUAACAUAAUGUUGAAAACAUACUGUAUAUACUGUGGUAGGACAAAUUCCAAAUAUGCUAAAUAUUUAUAAACAAAUAAGGAAAAUAAUAAUAAUAAUAUUAACAUUA